This 340-nucleotide unclassified non-coding RNA is filed under the name Hevea brasiliensis (rubber tree). Lineage: Eukaryota; Viridiplantae; Streptophyta; Magnoliopsida; Malpighiales; Euphorbiaceae. The record is from RNAcentral.
AGGCACUAUCUCCCAAUUCUUCAAGGUAGUGACUAUAGUUUCUAAUUUUGAGUACAGUGCAGCUGCUGUUCUUAAUGUUUCCAACUUCUUUGUGGGAAAACCUUCAAACUUUGCUAGCACCUGCAACUUAGAGACUUGAUGAUUGAUCUUCUUGACUAAGAAAUGAAAUUAUUAAUGUUAACAACUAUGGUUAGUGAUGGAGCAAAUUGAAGAAGCCGCACUCCACUGACCUGAGAUUCAUCAGUUAAGACCCCAAGGAUGAAUUCAAAGCUGUUUCGAAACUUCAGUAGCUUUACCAUGUCAUUUGUUUGAAAAGAAUUGAUGGCUACCUUUAACUCAA